UGGCCAAGAAGAGCGUCGGGGACCUCACGGAGGCCGACCUCGAGGGGAAGCGCGUCUUCGUGCGCGCCGACCUCAACGUGCCGCUCGACGAGAACCAGAACAUCACCGACGACACCCGCGUCCGCGCCGCCGUCCCCACCAUCCAGUACCUCAUCGGCAAGGGCGCCAAGGUCAUCCUCUCCAGCCACUUGGUGAGUCUCCGGCCUUCCCGUCUCACAUCUGAUUUGGUGAAGCCGUGCUCUUGGCACGCACAGACAAUGCAGGAACUCAGGACUCGUGGAAUCCGGGCGUUUGUGAUCAUGUGAUUUGCUUUGGUCAAGUAAUAUAUGGACACUGGCUAUUAGUCGUGAUUUUGCUUCCUGUGUUAUACUAUACCGUUUCUGGGCACAAAUUGGGCAUUGCUACAAAGGUGGAAGAGAUGUUUUAGAAACAAGAGUUUAGUUACAAAAGGAAAAAGUAUGAUAUUUUAAUUCAGCGCCUGCUUGUAACUUUAAUCUUAGAAAUUUGGUAUCUGACUGCUGCUCUUCGGGUACACACACAAUGUAGGAGCCAAGGACUUGUAGAAUGAUAUUGUUCAAUUAUGUGAAUUGUUUAUGCACACUGGCUAUUAGUUGCAAAUUUGCCUUUUGUGUUGAUUGAGUUUCUCUGAAAGAUUGCUGGACUAAGAUAUUAGUUCAGAGACAGCUGCUUAUAUUGCUUAAUUCAUCCAAUUUUGAUCGCAUCCCCCUUUUCUUUUGGAUGUGCAGGGUCGCCCUAAGGGUGUUACUCCCAAGUUUAGCUUAGCUCCCAUUGUGCCACGGCUGUCUGAGCUUCUUGGCAUUCAGGUAUUCAUUUCUUCUACAUCAUUGGUACUUCAAACUGACUCAGAUGUAGUAUUUGCUAAUUGAUUGUACUCAUUAAACCAUGUCUGCACUCGCAAAUAGGUGCAAAAAGCUGACGAUGUUAUUGGCCCUGAAGUUGAGAAAUUGGUGUCUGCCUUGCCCAACGGCGGUGUUUUGCUCCUUGAGAACGUAAGAUUUUACAAGGAAGAGGAAAAGAAUGACCCAGAGUUUGCUCAGAAGCUUGCCUCCCUAGCAGAUCUUUAUGUUAAUGAUGCAUUCGGAACAGCCCACAGGGCACAUGCAUCAACUGAGGGAGUUACCAAGUUCUUGAAGCCUUCUGUUGCAGGGUUCCUUUUGCAGAAGGUUAACUUUCUUUUCUAUGUUUAUAUUCCAUUCUUGAACUCACAGACACUAUGAAAGGCGGUAUUAAAAGAAAAAUGCUAUCUAAAGUAUAAAUUUUAAAAUAUUUUUUCUUCUCCUCCUCAAGCUCAAUCUGAACCUUUACAAAAUGUAUUCACAGGAGCUUGACUACCUUGUUGGAGCUGUUUCGAGCCCUAAACGUCCAUUUGCUGCCAUCGUGGGUGGCUCAAAGGUGUCAUCCAAGAUCGGGGUUAUUGAGUCCCUAUUGGAAAAGUGUGAUAUCCUACUUUUGGGCGGUGGUAUGAUCUUCACAUUUUACAAGGCACAAGGACUCUCUGUUGGUGCUUCAUUGGUUGAGGAAGACAAACUUGAGCUCGCGACAUCUCUCCUUGCAAAGGCAAAGGAAAAGGGUGUCUCCCUUAUGUUGCCAACCGAUGUUGUCAUUGCUGAUAAGUUUGCCCCUGAUGCUAACAGCCAGGUUUGUUGCAUCUUGUCCAUUCCUAUUCAGCAGACUUUUUGUAUUGAAGUGAAGCAUCUCUUAAUUCUGCAUAGGGAGAAACUUGACCAUAAAUUUUUUCUACAGAUUGUUCCAGCAUCUGCGAUUCCUGAUGGUUGGAUGGGGCUGGACAUUGGUCCAGAUUCUGUUGCUUCGUUCAAUGCAGCCCUGGAUACAACCCAGACAGUCAUCUGGAAUGGGCCCAUGGGUGUUUUUGAAUUCGACAAGUUCGCUGUAGGAACUGAGGUAAAGCCCUGCUUAAAUAUGCUGAUGCAGCUUUACGAUUACUAUCUAACUGGGGAAAGGUUACAAUGAAAGAAACUUAACCCUGAUAUCCCUUUCGUAGGCUGUUGCGAAGAAGUUGGCAGAGCUUAGCGGCAAGGGUGUCACAACCAUCAUUGGAGGCGGAGACUCUGUUGCAGCUGUCGAGAAGGUGGGAGUAGCUGAUGUUAUGAGCCACAUCUCAACGGGAGGAGGUGCCAGUUUGGAAUUGUUGGAAGGAAAGGAGCUUCCUGGAGUUAUUGCGUUGGAUGAAGCCGUUGUGACUGUAUGAAGCUAAGUUUUCAUUUUGUUUCACCUUCAUCUUCGUGGACCAAUGUGAACUUGGUACAUUCUUGCUUGCUCCUCGUCAGCCGUUCGACAUGUAAGAGAUCAAUGCUUUAUAGAGCUACUGGAAAUUGUUUGAAUAACUACACAAAUAAUUACCUGGGUCAUAAACUAAACCCUAAAGGGCACUAGAGCCUAUGUCCGGACCUGGCGCAGCGGUAAAACUCUCCACUUGUGGCUCGGAGGUCCUAGUUCCAACCAACCUCUUUGCAGAAUUUUAAACAAUUUUGCAAGGGUAAGGCUCUCUAGUUGCAGAAUUUUAAAAGAAUUUUGCAAGGGUAAGGUUGUCUAGAAAUUCCCUUCCCCUGACCCCACCUUGUGUGGGAGCUUUCGCACUGGAUACGCCCUUUACUUGGGAGCUUUUGUACCAGCAGGACCUGCUUUACUGAGCAAGGGUGUGAAUUUUGUUUUCUUUCUCUUUGCCAGAGAAGCAAACUUUAGGGCGCUACCCCUUGGAAGGUAGAUGUACAUUAUGGAGGUCUGCUACUCAAAAUUCUCGUGGAUCUCAGUCUGGAAUCAGGAAACUUAUUCACUCUCUACUUUUUGAUGAGCUUUGCUCUAAGAUGUCACACAUGUCUUUACAAGACGAAAAUGCAGAAGGAAUCCAGAAAAAAAAAA
RNAcentral lists this long non-coding RNA (2901 nucleotides) under Setaria viridis. RNAcentral describes it as "long non-coding RNA (SVIR_LNC002749)". Lineage: Eukaryota; Viridiplantae; Streptophyta; Magnoliopsida; Poales; Poaceae. The record is from RNAcentral.